UACGUAGGUGGCAAGCGUUGUCCGGAAUUAUUGGGCGUAAAGCGCGCGCAGGCGGUCCUUUAAGUCUGAUGUGAAAGCCCUCGGCUCAACCGAGGAGGGUCAUUGGAAACUGGAGGACUUGAGUGCAGAAGAGGAAAGUGGAAUUCCAAGUGUAGCGGUGAAAUGCGUAGAGAUUUGGAGGAACACCAAUAGCGAAGGCAGCUCGCUGGGACGUUACUGACACUGAGGCGCGAAAGCGUGGGGAGCGAACAGG
This 253-nucleotide ribosomal RNA is filed under the name uncultured bacterium. Its description in RNAcentral is "partial 16S ribosomal RNA". It matches the Rfam family "Bacterial small subunit ribosomal RNA", at positions 524 to 776 of the family's 1533-position model. The record is from RNAcentral.